RNAcentral lists this ribosomal RNA (398 nucleotides) under uncultured bacterium. Its description in RNAcentral is "partial 16S ribosomal RNA". It matches the Rfam family "Bacterial small subunit ribosomal RNA", at positions 523 to 918 of the family's 1533-position model. The record is from RNAcentral.
CUACGUAGGGUGCGAGCGUUGUCCGGAAUUACUGGGCGUAAAGAGCUCGUAGGUGGUUUGUCGCGUCGUCUGUGAAAUUCCGGGGCUUAACUCCGGGCGUGCAGGCGAUACGGGCAUAACUUGAGUACUGUAGGGGAGACUGGAAUUCCUGGUGUAGCGGUGAAAUGCGCAGAUAUCAGGAGGAACACCGGUGGCGAAGGCGGGUCUCUGGGCAGUAACUGACGCUGAGGAGCGAAAGCAUAAGUAGCGAACAGGAUUAGAUACCCUGGUAGUCCAUGCCGUAAACGGUGGGCGCUAGGUGUAGGGGUCUUCCACGACUUCUGUGCCGUAGCUAACGCAUUAAGCGCCCCGCCUGGGGAGUACGGCCGCAAGGCUAAAACUCAAAUGAAUUGACGGGG